Molecule: ribosomal RNA, 404 nt
Filed under: uncultured bacterium
Lineage: Bacteria
Description: bacterial SSU rRNA
Rfam family: Bacterial small subunit ribosomal RNA
Source: RNAcentral
UGGGGAAUCUUGCACAAUGGGGGAAACCCUGAUGCAGCGACGCCGCGUGAGUGAUGAAGCCCUUCGGGGUGUAAAGCUCUUUCGGCAGGGACGAUAAUGACGGUACCUGAAGAAGAAGCUGCGGCUAACUACGUGCCAGCAGCCGCGGUAAUACGUAGGCAGCGAGCGUUGUUCGGAGUUACUGGGCGUAAAGCGUGCGUAGGCGGUGGACCAAGUCUGGUGUGAAAUCUCCCGGCUUAACCGGGAGGGUGCGCCGGAAACUGGUUCGCUGGAGUACCGGAGAGGCAAGCGGAAUUCCAGGUGUAGCGGUGAAAUGCGUAGAUAUCUGGAGGAACACCCGUGGUGCAGACGGCUUGCUGGACGGUGACUGACGCUGAGGCACGAAAGCGUGGGUAGCAAACAGG